Oreochromis aureus is the source of this 4192-nucleotide long non-coding RNA. Lineage: Eukaryota; Metazoa; Chordata; Actinopteri; Cichliformes; Cichlidae. The record is from Ensembl.
GCUUAUGGAUGUAUUUUAAUAAAAAUAAUUCUGUCAAAAUUAAACAGAAAACAUAUUUCUUUUUUUAACAUAGUUCCAGUACAUAGUUUUUUUUGUAAUUAUCAUUUUUCCUUUUUUUUUAUAUUGUUUUAAAGGUUUUACAAGUCAUGCUAAGUAGAGGGUAACUCAUUUCACAUUUUUAAAACAUUUUUAUUUUUUUCCUAAAACUCAAAAGUCAAAAUCUGAAACCAAAAUCAUGAUAGAAGUCAACUGUGCACAGCUUGUCUGCGGCGCCUAAAUCAGUUUUUCCGGCCUCUCGGGAAGCUUCAGAGGCCUCGGGCUCGUUCUUACAACUGCUCACGUCUCCUUUCCUUCUAACGGUCACUGAGCAUGUCAGUGGCUGGAUAAUGGGGAUAAUGGGGGAAUGCUGUGUGGUAACAGCGCUGAGAUGCAGCCCAAGUCCAAAAACAACAGGACAGCAGCGAGAUUUUUUUUUCCCCCCUACAGGUGUGUAACAGAGGUUUCUCUUUCAAUAGUGUGUAACAGAAGUCCUGUACAGCUGCAGAGGCAGAUGCUGUGGGUGUGUCUGUAUGUGUAGUUAUUAGAAUAAAUCCUACAUUAGCAGAAGGUGUUUAGAAAAACAAAAACAAAACACCAGCUAAAAAGGUUUGACCACAUAACCUAGACGGAAAAUCUCUUAUGAAUAGAAAUACACACUUCAGGGUGGAUCAGCACGCCGCUCGCCAGGUCACGACAAAGCAGACAGAGAGACAACAUUUCAUCAGUCAUACGAUAUUCAUCCACUUUGUAGAAAAGAAAUCAUUUCAUAUGUUUACAGAGGAAAACAUGUUUAUCAUUAAAACCAAAUAAUGACACAUGUGACUGGGGUGGUAGUUAAACUUAAUGCUUCCAACACACGGGACUAAAGUCUUCUCUUUUGAAACACAAAACUAAAAAUGAAGUGAAUAAUGCUGCAGCGUGAGCCAACUUUACAGAGCUAACAUUGUGAAAGUAAUUAACGGGUUAGUUACUCAAUUAAUGUUUUAUUCUAUUGUGACUGGCUGCCAUCUUUGUUGCGUGGAAACAGUAUCAACCUGAGAAAGUUGAGUUCAUGAAAACAAAAAGCUUUGAAUCCACAUGUUUAAAAGUUCCUGUGAAAUCCCUUCAAGAUUUCCAUUUUAGCUUUUCCAAAUACUAAAGAAAGAAAAAAAUAUCAGCGUUACCUCCAAAUAUAUUCUAACUCAAGUGUGGCUCCUGUAAAAUAAAAAUGAAGUCAAAAAAAAGAGCCAUUAAAGCAUAGACGACUGAACUUCACCCAGGCCCGCUAACACGUUAGCUCAUGUGUGUUACAGAAAGGAACACAGUGGCUUUUUGGUCUUUUUUUUGCAAACAUUUAAGAAACAUUUUUAGAAAUAACGUUUUGUACUAUUCGGCUAUGUGAGCUUAAAAGCAGCUGAGCCAGCUGGCCGUGUAGCCAGGUAGCAUGUGGUCUUGCUAAAACAAAGGCUAGUUACUGUACAGUGUGUUUCUGAGGAGCAGCAAAAUGAUUGGCUGAUUCAAAAGAAUCAACCUCGUCAGCCACCAGUUAGUGAAUUAGUUUGUUUUAGCUGCGCAGUUUCAAACAAAGUCCUUAGCAGACAAAAUAAAGACGGGUGAGGUACAGCUAGUUAGUGCUUUAGCUAGUUUUUUACUAGCCAAAACUUACUUGAUGAUAUUGGUGAAGCCUAACAGGCCUUUUUCGUCCAAGCAGAUAUUUUAAGUUGUCAUGAGAAAAGUUACUUUUGAACCAAGUUUUAAUGAUGGCUCAAUUUUAUUAUACACAAAAAUGGAGCCUUGUCUGAAUGGUUUAAUUUGUUUUCUUACAAAUUACAUCUGUGUUUAUCUCACAAUAACCCAGAGUCUCUGCUGUGGAAAAAGGUCUGAGGCUGCAGAAGCUGUCAUGAAAACUGUGAACUGACCGUGUAAAACUGAGUAAUUUAAAGUCGUAAUAUCUUAUUAAUUAAUUUUAAUAUCAAGCCAAGUGAGACGUGUCUGGAAGCGGUAUUUGGUACUUCUGUUUGUACUGAUCUGACUCAGUACAAACAUUUUGGUCUCAAACACCCAGAGAUUUGUUGAUGUCAUGCACUGUAUGACAUCUACCACUGUCUGCCUCAGAUCGUGGCUUGUUGCCCUACGAAACUUCUUAUCCUUAUGUUCUAUUUCAAUCUGCAGUGUUUGUACUACUGCACUAAUAUUGACUGCAUCUACCUGUCACACACAUCCUGGUUGUUAUUCUUUAAGCGUGUGUUAAAGUGGUGCUCUCGUCUCUGUCGACGGGUAAAGCAUUAAAGGAGCGACAGCUAACACAGGAAUCCUGCCUCUGCAGGAAGCUGUUGCAUAGACACGCCUUGAAUCUGUUUUGGCUGAUAUUAUGUGUAGUAUGUGGACUGCAUGUAGAUAGUAAUUGAGAGACAGUCAACUAAGAAUACUCCGACAAACAAAGCAACCUUAUAAUGCAGCUUUAAGUAUGAGGGAAAUGUUGUAAAAACAGGACUGUUGGCAGGUUUAACCUGACACCAAAACAGGAAGUAGCGGACCUGAGCACUGUCUUUACUUGUACAUAAAUCUCAUUGUGGCCAGCAGCUAGCCUCAAGGGUAAAAUGACUGUUUUACCAUCAUGUUACUGUACAUAUUGAAAAGAACUCUGUGACUGUUUUACAAACCUAAAGGGCUCUGUGUAAGGCAAAAAGAGAGAAACUUUCCCAACAACCAGAACUGGUUUUCACAAUCUUUAAAAUCAAAACGAAAGAUUACACAGUGCUCCCUAAAAAACUACACAUAUGUGUUCGGAAAAUGGUUUUCCUUUUUUUCUGAAACAGUGUUUGCAACAGCACAUGCACACAGAAGGUCAGGUUGUGGAGGAUGGCGAAGAAAAAAAAAAGGGCAGCAGUAAUUAAAUCUCAGGGGGAGUGCCCUGAAUACACACACACACACACACACACACACACACACACACACACACACACACACACACACACACACACACACACACACAGCGCUUGUUAGGCUGAGUUUGAUACUGAUUUCCUCAAUACUGGCAUCAAGGUGGCCAUUAAAAUAGUGUAAGACUUGGUCCUGAAGGUGGAUGUUGUCGGUGCAGCUCUUGCCGAGCUCUGCCACCUACAACCACAUCGCUGAUUGGUCGACGUUGUGGUUGUUACGGUAAAAUCAAGGCUCCAACACCUCUAAUAUUCCACUGUAGUCUCUUGUCAUCACCCUCUCUCCCGGCAGCGUUCGCAGCUACAGAGGACCUUCAAUUAUGUUUUUUUUCCUUUUACAUGGGUAAAGUUUUAAGGAAGUCUCCUAUUCUUUGGGUAAUAAAUUGUUAGCUCACAAAGAUAUAUUAGAGCAUGACUUGGAAGCUUUGUCCAGUAAAUUUUUAUUUUCUAUCUGGAAUAAUUUGGGGGCAAUGAGGCAUUUUUCCUGGCGAGGUUGAACCCUUCUGUAUUUCAAGAUACAAAGUGCAUAUUUUUUUCCUCCGUGUCUAAUUGGAAAAAAAAAAAAAAAGGCCUACAGGCGUCAGGAUGACUGUGGAAACCAGCUUUUGGGUAUUGUGGUCUGUGAUAUGGUGAACAAGAACAACAAUACUGACAGCAGGGAGAAGAAAUCCACCCGUUAAAACAGAAGGGAAGAAUCAGAAGGAGGUUUACAAUUUCUUUGUUCCAGGAUGAGCACAACAAACUGACACAAAAGAACUAAAAAACAAAAGAAAAAAAAAGGCUAGAUGAACAGAAUAAUAAUUAUCUUUAAAUAGUGUCACACAUUUAUUUAUUUUAUAAUACUAAAUUAAAAGGAACCUUUCUUUUCUCUCUUUCUCUCCUCUGCCCCUCUUGCCUGUGCUGCUGGCUCGGUCUGAUGGACAGCCAAAUGCACCAACGCUCCUUCCUCCGUUGCCAUGACAACUACCUGCUGGACAUGUCUUCUCUCAGUGCUACUUAACAAUAAUCUGUGGGAGAGAUGUGGGGUAAUGAAAUGAAUGUAGCAUGAUUGAUAGAAAUACAGCAGGAGAGCAUUUUAUCCUUUUUUUUUUUCCCCAUUUGAGGCAUGUGUGCACAUUAGCUGUAAUUACAGCCAAUAACAGAUGGAGAUGAAGGUCGUCCUCCAUCCAUACCUUCAAGACACAAACAUGCCAGUCACCAUGUAAACCUUACUAUGAGUCAUAUUCAGUGCCCCG